GACGAACGCUGGCGGCGUGCUUAACACAUGCAAGUCGAACGAAGAGCGAUGGAAGCUUGCUUCUAUCAAUCUUAGUGGCGAACGGGUGAGUAACGCGUAAUCAACCUGCCCUUCAGAGGGGGACAACAGUUGGAAACGGCUGCUAAUACCGCAUACGAUCUAAUCUCGGCAUCGAGGAUAGAUGAAAGGUGGCCUCUACAUGUAAGCUAUCACUGAAGGAGGGGAUUGCGUCUGAUUAGCUAGUUGGAGGGGUAACGGCCCACCAAGGCGAUGAUCAGUAGCCGGUCUGAGAGGAUGAACGGCCACAUUGGGACUGAGACACGGCCCAGACUCCUACGGGAGGCAGCAGUGGGGAAUCUUCCGCAAUAGACGAAAGUCUGACGGAGCAACGCCGCGUGAGUGAUGACGGCCUUCGGGUUGUAAAGCUCUGUUAAUCGGGACGAAAGGCCUUCUUGCGAAUAGUGAGAAGGAUUGACGGUACCGGAAUAGAAAGCCACGGCUAACUACGUG
This 510-nucleotide ribosomal RNA is filed under the name uncultured bacterium. RNAcentral's name for it is "partial 16S ribosomal RNA". It matches the Rfam family "Bacterial small subunit ribosomal RNA", at positions 28 to 507 of the family's 1533-position model. The record is from RNAcentral.